AUUGAACGCUGGCGGCAUGCUUAACACAUGCAAAUCGAACGGUAACAGGCCCUUCGGGUGCUGACGAGUGGCGGACGGGUGAGUAAUGCUUAGGAAUCUGCCUAGUAGUGGGGGAUAACCCGGGGAAACUCGGGCUAAUACCGCAUACGCCCUACGGGGAAAGGCGGGGGACGUUUCGGUCCGUCGCGCUAUUAGAUGAGCCUAAGUCCGAUUAGCUAGUUGGUAGGGUAAGUGGCCUACCAAGGCGACGAUCGGUAGCUGGUCUGAGAGGACGACCACGCCACACUGGGAC
Molecule: ribosomal RNA, 292 nt
Filed under: uncultured bacterium
Lineage: Bacteria
Description: partial 16S ribosomal RNA
Rfam family: Bacterial small subunit ribosomal RNA
Source: RNAcentral